Molecule: non-coding RNA, 287 nt
Organism: Pelobates cultripes (western spadefoot toad)
Lineage: Eukaryota; Metazoa; Chordata; Amphibia; Anura; Pelobatidae
Source: the annotation of a GenBank genome assembly
AAAAUGAAAUGGAAGCAUUGAACACAUUUGGUUUAUAUUGCAAUGAUAACUGUGCACACAGAAGACAGCUUAUUUUUACUCUUGCAUUAAAAUAUUUUUCCUCUCAAAUAUGUAAUCAUUAGCACUCGCAUCAAUUUAAAAAUGUAUGGCAAAACUAACAACGAACAUGAUCUCAAUCUAAGUGAAUUCAUGGUAAAAUUUAAAAUAAAAAUACAAGCACAAACAUAUACAAUGAUGAUUAACGAGUGAAUGAAGAGAUAUACUAGAUAGACUAGAAUAUUUAUAAC